GUUUGCAAUCUACUACAUAUUCAACCUUCAGUAUCAACAUGAAGCAGCCUGCACUCUGGAAUUCAUUCAGAGGCGCUUCAUCGGUAUUAAUCCAGAAAGAGGGACAAAGGCCAAAAGAGGCAAGGUUGUCUCCAAGAAAACAGGUUUGAUUGUCCAGAAGAAGUCUGCUACAGUCAAUACACACGUUGCCAUGCUACUGAAGAAUCUUGCUGACUUUGAAUGGAACUUCAUUUAGAUUGUGAGGAACAGCAGCUACCAAAGUGAUGUUCUCCUGGUUCCACAAGAAGUAAAAACACAAGCCUACCUCAUAGAAACUCCAAGUCAACCUUCCUGUUGCAGAGAUGCCAACCUUUUCCUGUUUUUGUUGAUGCAUAUUAUUGAAGUGUUCUGCUAUACUAUAAUAGUUUCAAA
This is a long non-coding RNA of Neoarius graeffei (lesser salmon catfish), 411 nucleotides long. RefSeq lists it as uncharacterized. The transcript has 3 exons. The record is from RefSeq and is a predicted model, not a curated record. Lineage: Eukaryota; Metazoa; Chordata; Actinopteri; Siluriformes; Ariidae.